Molecule: long non-coding RNA, 170 nt
Organism: Ficedula albicollis (Collared flycatcher)
Lineage: Eukaryota; Metazoa; Chordata; Aves; Passeriformes; Muscicapidae
Exons: 3
Source: RefSeq, a predicted model, not a curated record
UGUACCAGGGUCUCCAGAGGCAGAGAGGCACCACUCAGUGGAGAGGAGACAGCAAAUGCACACUCAAGUAUAUGGAAAUGAAUGGCCACCCUUACUUUCAGCCGUGCUGGAGAGAGGCUUCAGAGCUGUUCCACCUCGCCAUCAAAGAUUCAGCUCUGGGAAAAAUGCAG